Molecule: non-coding RNA, 85 nt
Organism: Felis catus (domestic cat)
Lineage: Eukaryota; Metazoa; Chordata; Mammalia; Carnivora; Felidae
Source: Rfam
GCCUGGGUGGCUUAGUCAGUUGAGCAUCCGACUUCAGCUCAGGUCAUGAUCUUGCAGUUGGUGAGUUUGAGUCCCACCUGAGGCU